Rhododendron vialii is the source of this 356-nucleotide long non-coding RNA. RefSeq lists it as uncharacterized. The transcript has 2 exons. The record is from RefSeq and is a predicted model, not a curated record. Lineage: Eukaryota; Viridiplantae; Streptophyta; Magnoliopsida; Ericales; Ericaceae.
CUGAUUUCAUUUUAAGUGCAAUUGUGGUACAUCUCUGCAACAUAAGGAAGUACAUUCUUUGCUUUGGUACCAUAACAUUUAUUUGUUUAUUUUCUUGUUUCAAGAGAAGGUUACAUGGAACUCUUCUACAAUGCUAGGUGACGAACUGCUUUAGUGGUUGGAGAUGCUUGAGAAAAAGAUGAUCGGGAGAAUGUGUUUGAUAAAGGCGCACGGGGCACUGUUUAUUUUGGGGACUUAGUGUUUAUUUUCUUUGACUUGUUUGUCUUUUUUUUUCCCUUGACUGUAUUUUAUUGAGUAUGGUACAUAUGAACAUGAAUUUGGAUUGCAAAAGUAUGAAUUAUUGUUUCUUUUUGCUA